Molecule: ribosomal RNA, 727 nt
Filed under: Streptomyces sp. HGB0020
Lineage: Bacteria; Bacillati; Actinomycetota; Actinomycetes; Kitasatosporales; Streptomycetaceae
Description: bacterial SSU rRNA
Rfam family: Bacterial small subunit ribosomal RNA
Source: RNAcentral
AGUCGACGAUGAAGCCCUUCGGGGUGGAUUAGUGGCGAACGGGUGAGUAACACGUGGGCAAUCUGCCCUCCACUUCGGGACAAGCCCUGGAAACGGGGUCUAAUACCGGAUACGACGCGCUCGGGCAUCCGAUGUGCGUGGAAAGCUCCGGCGGUGGAGGAUGAGCCCGCGGCCUAUCAGCUGGUUGGUGAGGUAAUGGCUCACCAAGGCGACGACGGGUAGCCGGCCUGAGAGGGCGACCGGCCACACUGGGACUGAGACACGGCCCAGACUCCUACGGGAGGCAGCAGUGGGGAAUAUUGCACAAUGGGCGCAAGCCUGAUGCAGCGACGCCGCGUGAGGGAUGACGGCCUUCGGGUUGUAAACCUCUUUCAGCAGGGAAGAAGCGCAAGUGACGGUACCUGCAGAAGAAGCGCCGGCUAACUACGUGCCAGCAGCCGCGGUAAUACGUAGGGCGCAAGCGUUGUCCGGAAUUAUUGGGCGUAAAGAGCUCGUAGGCGGCUUGUCACGUCGAUUGUGAAAGCCCGAGGCUUAACCUCGGGUCUGCAGUCGAUACGGGCUGGCUAGAGUGUGGUAGGGGAGAUCGGAAUUCCUGGUGUAGCGGUGAAAUGCGCAGAUAUCAGGAGGAACACCGGUGGCGAAGGCGGAUCUCUGGGCCAUUACUGACGCUGAGGAGCGAAAGCGUGGGGAGCGAACAGGAUUAGAUACCCUGGUAGUCACGCCGUAA